Molecule: long non-coding RNA, 1062 nt
Filed under: Eucalyptus grandis
Lineage: Eukaryota; Viridiplantae; Streptophyta; Magnoliopsida; Myrtales; Myrtaceae
Description: long non-coding RNA (EGRA_LNC005833)
Source: RNAcentral
GAAUCACCGCAACGGCGAGGCGACGGCGGCCGAAAUAGGACUUUCGACGACACCGGCGGACUUGGACCGGGCUUAAGACUUGGCCCAACAAAUCUCAGCCCAAUUGAGAUUUGUUCUUGCACUGGAAUGGGCUUGCUCUUGGGCUUGGGCCUAGCUGGAAUCCUUGGACUGAACCUGAACUUGGGCUUGAAACAAAGCUGAAUUGGGCCUGCCUUUCAAACAACUUGGGCUGAAGCUUGGGUCAAAAUUUGCUGGGCAUCAAGAUGUCAAACUGCAGGCUGCUUGAUGGACCAAAAUGCUGAUCAUUUGGACUGCAGCUGAUUAAUUUCAACUGGGCUUGAAGACAAAUGGGCUGCACGUUGAACUGAAGUGGCUGAGCUGCAAUUUAAGUGGCUUCAAAUGAGAUGGGCUUCCAGUUCGCUGGAACUACUGCUGGGCUCACUGAUUUGUGUGAGCUGGUGGGCCGGACAGAAGCAGCAAAGGCUGCUCGAGCGUGAAUUGAAGACACGCCAUGGAUGGACGAAGAUGCUGUAAUCCGUGGCCACUGGAGCUUCGGUGGAUACGGCUGGUCAACGAAGCCUUCGCUGGGGUUCAGGAAUUCUUUCGGUGGAAAUUGCUGACCGAAGACCCUCGUGGACGCACGGACUGAAGCUUCGUGACUGAAGACGCGUGGACUGGCGUUGCGGACGAGAUGCAGGCUUCCUCGUGGUCUUCAGUGUCCGCUUGUUGCUGGAGUUUGACCCACAGAGCAAGUCGGAUGCGUGGAGGCUGAGAGGACUUCGGUCUUCAGUGCUGGACAACACCUGAAGGAAGCAGCUGUCGCAUGCUGGCUGAGCGUAGGUCAACCGGUCGUCCGAGAGGUAGCAAGGUUGACUGAAAAACGUGGCACGGAGCUGCUUCGGUGCUGCCUCGGCGUCUUCAAGCAGAUGCGGUGGACUGAAGCUCCGUGAAGUGGAGACACGGAACAGGAGUUUUCAUGGCGUCAAAAUGAUGAAAACGUUGGCGAGGAGCUGCGGGGUUUUUGGGGUCGAGAGAUGCAGAAGUUGAGGUCGGCAAAUCAAG